UACGUAGGUCCCGAGCGUUGUCCGGAUUUAUUGGGCGUAAAGCGAGCGCAGGUGGUUUAUUAAGUCUGGUGUAAAAGGCAGUGGCUUAACCAUUGUAUGCAUUGGAAACUGGUAGACUUGAGUGCAGGAGAGGAGAGUGGAAUUCCAUGUGUAGCGGUGAGAUGCGUAGAUAUAUGGAGGAACACCGGUGGCGAAAGCGGCUCUCUGGCCUGUAACUGACACUGAGGCUCGAAAGCGUGGGGAGCAAACAGG
RNAcentral lists this ribosomal RNA (252 nucleotides) under uncultured bacterium. Its description in RNAcentral is "partial 16S ribosomal RNA". It matches the Rfam family "Bacterial small subunit ribosomal RNA", at positions 524 to 776 of the family's 1533-position model. The record is from RNAcentral.